RNAcentral lists this ribosomal RNA (450 nucleotides) under uncultured bacterium. Its description in RNAcentral is "partial 16S ribosomal RNA". It matches the Rfam family "Bacterial small subunit ribosomal RNA", at positions 338 to 795 of the family's 1533-position model. The record is from RNAcentral.
CCUACGGGUGGCUGCAGUGGGGAAUUUUGCGCAAUGGACGAAAGUCUGACGCAGCAACGCCGCGUGGGUGAUGAAGGUCUUCGGAUCGUAAAACCCUGUCGUCAGGGACGAAGGUCGCAUGUCUAAUAGAUGUGUGAUUUGACGGUACCUGGAGAGGAAGCCCCGGCUAACUCUGUGCCAGCAGCCGCGGUAAUACAGAGGGGGCAAGCGUUAUUCGGAAUUAUUGGGCGUAAAGGGCGCAGAGGCGGGUGUAAUCCCCGAGCUUAACUUGGGAACUGCAUCUCAGACUGUGUCGCUAGAGUGCUGGAGAGGGUGGUGGAAUUCCACGUGUAGCGGUGAAAUGCGUAGAGAUGUGGAGGAACACCAGUGGCGAAGGCGGCCACCUGGACAGUAACUGACGCUGAGGCGCGAAAGUGUGGGGAGCAAACAGGAUUAGAUACCCCAGUAGUC